GGAGUAGUACUCAAGAGGCCGAAGAGGCGCCCCUGCUAAGGGCGUAGGUCGUCUAAACAACGGCGCGAGGGUUCAAAUCCCUCCUACUCCGCCA
RNAcentral lists this transfer RNA (94 nucleotides) under Escherichia coli. RNAcentral's name for it is "tRNA-Ser". It matches the Rfam family "tRNA". From Rfam's summary of the family: Transfer RNA (tRNA) molecules are approximately 80 nucleotides in length. Their secondary structure includes four short double-helical elements and three loops (D, anti-codon, and T loops). RNAcentral also lists the same sequence under 39 other names. Lineage: Bacteria; Pseudomonadati; Pseudomonadota; Gammaproteobacteria; Enterobacterales; Enterobacteriaceae. The record is from RNAcentral.